GACGAACCGUGCGAACGUUGUUCGGAAUCACUGGGCGUAAAGGGCGCGUAGGCGGAUCUUUAAGUCGGGGGUGAAAGCCCAGGGCUCAACCCUGGAAUUGCCUUCGAUACUGAAGAUCUCGAGACCGGAAGAGGUUAGUGGAACUGCGAGUGUAGAGGUGAAAUUCGUAGAUAUUCGCAAGAACACCAGUGGCGAAGGCGGCUAACUGGUCCGGUUCUGACGCUGAGGCGCGAAAGCGUGGGGAGCAAACAGG
Molecule: ribosomal RNA, 253 nt
Filed under: uncultured bacterium
Lineage: Bacteria
Description: partial 16S ribosomal RNA
Rfam family: Bacterial small subunit ribosomal RNA
Source: RNAcentral